RNAcentral lists this ribosomal RNA (497 nucleotides) under uncultured bacterium. RNAcentral describes it as "partial 16S ribosomal RNA". It matches the Rfam family "Bacterial small subunit ribosomal RNA", at positions 28 to 507 of the family's 1533-position model. The record is from RNAcentral.
GAUGAACGCUGGCGGCGUGCCUAAUACAUGCAAGUCGAGCGAACGGACGAGAAACUUGCUUCUCUGAUGUUAGCGGCGGACGGGGGAGUAAAACGUGGAGAACCUACCUAUAAGACUGGGAUAACUUAGGGAAACCGGAGCUAAUACCGGAUAAUAUUUUGAACCGCAUGGUUCAAAAGUGAAAGACGGUCUUGCUGUCACUUAUAGAUGGAUCCGCGCUGCAUUAGCUAGUUGGUAAGGUAACGGCUUACCAAGGCAACGAUGCAUAGCCGACCUGAGAGGGUGAUCGGCCACACUGGAACUGAGACACGGUCCAGACUCCUACGGGAGGCAGCAGUAGGGAAUCUUCCGCAAUGGGCGAAAGCCUGACGGAGCAACGCCGCGUGAGUGAUGAAGGUCUUCGGAUCGUAAAACUCUGUUAUUAGGGAAGAACAUAUGUGUAAGUAACUGUGCACAUCUUGACGGUACCUAAUCAGAAAGCCACGGCUAACUACGUG